CAGAGGGUGCAAGCGUUAAUCGGAAUUACUGGGCGUAAAGCGUGCGUAGUCGGCCAUUUAAGUCGGGUGUGAAAUCCCCGGGCUCAACCUGGGAAUUGCAUUCGAUACUGGAUGGCUAGAGUUCGGCAGAGGGAAGCGGAAUUUCGGGUGUAGCGGUGAAAUGCGUAGAUAUCCGAAGGAACAUCAGUGGCGAAAGCGGCUUCCUGGGACCAGAACUGACGAUCAGGCACGAAAGCGUGGGGAGCAAACAGGAUUAGAUACCCUGGUAGUCCACGCCAUAAACGAUGACAACUAGACGUUGGGAGGGUAAGCCUCUCAGUGUCGCAGCUAACGCGUUAAGUUGUCCGCCUGGGGAGUACGGCCGCAAGGUUG
RNAcentral lists this ribosomal RNA (372 nucleotides) under uncultured organism. RNAcentral describes it as "bacterial SSU rRNA". It matches the Rfam family "Bacterial small subunit ribosomal RNA", at positions 526 to 896 of the family's 1533-position model. The record is from RNAcentral.